CCCUGCUCAUUAAUAACUUCUUUCUCUCUUUCUUUCUUUCUUAACAUAGAGAUGUAUUUGUGGAUUCCUUCGAGGCGUCCUCCAUUAUAGGAUGCGAGCCCGCAGGUUUAAGGGCAAACGGCCUGGUGGAAAGAAAAUCCCUAGCUCACCAAGGCAAGAGUCGAACCAUGAUCUUGUCAAACCACAGGCUCCUCUUGUGGGUUUACAACUACACAUUAACAAAGAGUGUUCAAAUUGUUGUAUUGAACUCAUAGAUUUGGUCAUUUACUUUGCCAAGUCUAAUAAGGAAUCGCCACUUAAACGGCGGAGAGCUAAAGUUUUCUCGUUUGCAAUGAUCAGUUUUGGUCGUCUACUUAGACGGCGGAUCCAAAAGAGAACAAUUCGAGAUAUUCAUCGUCGGGCUUAUGGAAGGGUUAAUAGCUCCCCUUAAUUCCCUUAAGCUAAAGUACAUUAAAAGCUUUUUUUUUUUUUUUUUUUUUACAAGUAGAAAAUAAGUCACCAAUUGUGGGAUUCAAAAGAUAAUCCUUCCAAACCUUUUCAACCAAAUUUUGUUCACAAUUACACAAGAAGAAAAGGAGAAACAGAAGAGAAUUCCAGCUGUUUAUCACAAAGAUGCAGCAACUUUAUGGUAGCAAUUGUCACAUAGCAUGAAGCAAAGGCGACAUAUUUCAUUUUACCGGAACAACAGAUCAAGAAAUCGUUCUCUUUCGGGCAUUACAGCUCAAUUAAUAGUUCUUGAAAGCUUUGGCUGAAACACGUCCACUUGCUCUUUCCCAAGAAUCAGCCAUAUCAUACACAUGAUUAUUUACAUACAUAUUCAAUUAGUUAAAUGACUGGUUGAUCUUGCACACCAAUUAAUCAUCCAACUCAACAAUAUUUGGUUUGAUCAGAGUCAAGCAAGAGAGCUUAUUCAUGUAUGGCCCCAUGACCCUAAGAACAUCAUAGUUCUUAUAGGGUCCUCUGCCUGAGAGCUCCAAUUUCGUCUUUCGAUUUCUUUUGAAUAUAAGAGAGCACUGUUUCCCUCACCAGCCCCGUUCCGAGCCAUGGUCAUGGAGACAGUAGCCGCAUCAAUAGCCUGCUUGAGCCUCUCUGCAAUUGUUCUCUUCGCNNNNN
This 1113-nucleotide long non-coding RNA is filed under the name Populus trichocarpa (black cottonwood). RNAcentral's name for it is "long non-coding RNA (PTRI_LNC004381)". The record is from RNAcentral. Lineage: Eukaryota; Viridiplantae; Streptophyta; Magnoliopsida; Malpighiales; Salicaceae.